Phlyctochytrium arcticum is the source of this 82-nucleotide non-coding RNA. The record is from the annotation of a GenBank genome assembly. Lineage: Eukaryota; Fungi; Chytridiomycota; Chytridiomycetes; Chytridiales; Chytridiaceae.
GGCACGAUGUCCGAGUCGUCAAGGAGCCGAUUUCGAAUGUCGGUGGGCUAUGCCCGCGUAGGUUCAAAUCCUGCUCGUGUCG